RNAcentral lists this ribosomal RNA (501 nucleotides) under Arthrobacter tumbae. Its description in RNAcentral is "bacterial SSU rRNA". It matches the Rfam family "Bacterial small subunit ribosomal RNA", at positions 373 to 884 of the family's 1533-position model. Lineage: Bacteria; Bacillati; Actinomycetota; Actinomycetes; Micrococcales; Micrococcaceae. The record is from RNAcentral.
GGGCGCAAGCCUGAUGCAGCGACGCCGCGUGAGGGAUGAAGGCCUUCGGGUUGUAAACCUCUUUCAGUAGGGAAGAAGCGAAAGUGACGGUACCUGCAGAAGAAGCGCCGGCUAACUACGUGCCAGCAGCCGCGGUAAUACGUAGGGCGCAAGCGUUAUCCGGAAUUAUUGGGCGUAAAGAGCUCGUAGGCGGUUUGUCGCGUCUGCCGUGAAAGUCCGGGGCUUAACCCCGGAUCUGCGGUGGGUACGGGCAGACUUGAGUGAUGUAGGGGAGACUGGAAUUCCUGGUGUAGCGGUGAAAUGCGCAGAUAUCAGGAGGAACACCGAUGGCGAAGGCAGGUCUCUGGGCAUUAACUGACGCUGAGGAGCGAAAGCAUGGGGAGCGAACAGGAUUAGAUACCCUGGUAGUCCAUGCCGUAAACGUUGGGCACUAGGUGUGGGGGACAUUCCACGUUUUCCGCGCCGUAGCUAACGCAUUAAGUGCCCCGCCUGGGGAGUACG